Molecule: ribosomal RNA, 208 nt
Filed under: uncultured bacterium
Lineage: Bacteria
Description: partial 16S ribosomal RNA
Rfam family: Bacterial small subunit ribosomal RNA
Source: RNAcentral
GGCGUAGGCGGGAAAGAAAGUCAGAUGUGAAAUUCCGGGGCUCAACCUCGGAGCGGCAUUUGAAACUUCUUUUCUAGAGGGUAGGCGGAGAAAAUAGAACUCCACAAGUAGCGGUGAAAUGCGUAGAUAUGUGGAAGAAUACCGGUGGCGAAGGCGGUUUUUCUAGCUUACUCCUGACGCUAAUGCCCGAAAGCAAGGGGAGCAAACA